Long non-coding RNA from Bombus huntii, 931 nucleotides. RefSeq lists it as uncharacterized. Lineage: Eukaryota; Metazoa; Arthropoda; Insecta; Hymenoptera; Apidae. The record is from RefSeq and is a predicted model, not a curated record. The transcript is spliced from 2 exons.
UAUAAAGUACAAAUAUUUUUAAAUCUUCUUUAUUCGUAAUAUACAACAGUAAUGAGCAAACUCUGGAUUUUUUGAAAAUAUAACACGUUUGGUUAUCAUCUUGCGCUUCACUGACAAUUUACAUCAAGGUUUUUAGUAGCCAAGAGACUGAUAUGAGAAAUAAGUAAAAUAUCAUAUUGACAAAUUAAGUAAAAUACAAAAAGUAGCAAAUAGAUCGUGUUUAACAUACAUGAACAUAAAUAAUUAUAAUGAUAUAUAUAUAUAUAAUAAGACAAACUAGUCUUUGAUCUAAUAUACAAAGUUGAUAAAAGAUAUUUCACUGAGGUCAACAAAUAUUAUUCGUCACAUGUUACAACAAUAAAGACUAUAAUGACAACAUAUAAAAGAAUCCCUACGUUCAUAAAAUAAAUGUAUAGUGAAAAGAAAUUUUAAAAUGAUGUAGCACUUUUUAACAAAGUCAAUUUAUUUAUGAAAAUAGUAUAUGGAUGAAAGUAAAUAUGAGAUAACUAAUAAAAUUUAUUGUUUGAUUGACACAUCAACGACAGAUUUAGGUUGUAUAUUACUUUCUAUUUUUAAUAACAACCGGAAACAAUUAUUAAAUAUUUUGCCAAUUUCCAGAUCUCAAUCUAUGUACGCAUUUAUACAAGGAAUCAAAGACAAAAUUAAACAGCAUCCGAUUGAUGAAAAAGAAAAAAAAAGAAAAAACAGACCCAACUAUCGAAACAAAAUAACCAUGGGAAAGAUGUAUCUUAAAUUUAAAUACUAGGAAACAAACAGAACAUAUACCUAUUUGAUAUUUAUACGCUGUCAUAAAUGUUACUAUGUAUGUAUAUAUGAUAAUAUGUAGAAAUUAUUUUAUAGGGUAUAUGCCCUAAAUUUGUCACUAAAAUGUAUGUAUCUUCUUGUUCUUAUUAAUAGAAUAUCAAACAUA